GAAAUCUGUGUAAAUUUUAGAUACUAUAGGGGCGG
RNAcentral lists this transfer RNA (35 nucleotides) under Senegalia gaumeri. Its description in RNAcentral is "partial tRNA-His". The record is from RNAcentral. Lineage: Eukaryota; Viridiplantae; Streptophyta; Magnoliopsida; Fabales; Fabaceae.